This 2255-nucleotide ribosomal RNA is filed under the name Salmonella enterica subsp. enterica serovar Johannesburg. RNAcentral's name for it is "partial 23S ribosomal RNA". It matches the Rfam family "Bacterial large subunit ribosomal RNA", at positions 707 to 2925 of the family's 2925-position model. The record is from RNAcentral. Lineage: Bacteria; Pseudomonadati; Pseudomonadota; Gammaproteobacteria; Enterobacterales; Enterobacteriaceae.
GUAUAGACCCGAAACCCGGUGAUCUAGCCAUGGGCAGGUUGAAGGUUGGGUAACACUAACUGGAGGACCGAACCGACUAAUGUUGAAAAAUUAGCGGAUGACCUGUGGCUGGGGGUGAAAGGCCAAUCAAACCGGGAGAUAGCUGGUUCUCCCCGAAAGCUAUUUAGGUAGCGCCUCGUGAAUUCAUCUCCGGGGGUAGAGCACUGUUUCGGCUAGGGGGCCAUCCCGGCUUACCAACCCGAUGCAAACUGCGAAUACCGGAGAAUGUUAUCACGGGAGACACACGGCGGGUGCUAACGUCCGUCGUGAAGAGGGAAACAACCCAGACCGCCAGCUAAGGUCCCAAAGUCAUGGUUAAGUGGGAAACGAUGUGGGAAGGCCCAGACAGCCAGGAUGUUGGCUUAGAAGCAGCCAUCAUUUAAAGAAAGCGUAAUAGCUCACUGGUCGAGUCGGCCUGCGCGGAAGAUGUAACGGGGCUAAACCAUGCACCGAAGCUGCGGCAGCGACGCUGAUGCGUUGUUGGGUAGGGGAGCGUUCUGUAAGCCUGCGAAGGUGUGUCGUGAGGCAUGCUGGAGGUAUCAGAAGUGCGAAUGCUGACAUAAGUAACGAUAAAGCGGGUGAAAAGCCCGCUCGCCGGAAGACCAAGGGUUCCUGUCCAACGUUAAUCGGGGCAGGGUGAGUCGACCCCUAAGGCGAGGCCGAAAGGCGUAGUCGAUGGGAAACGGGUUAAUAUUCCCGUACUUGGUGUUACUGCGAAGGGGGGACGGAGAAGGCUAUGUUGGCCGGGCGACGGUUGUCCCGGUUUAAGCGUGUAGGUGUGUGUUCCAGGUAAAUCCGGUUCACUUUAACACUGAGGCGUGAUGACGAGGCACUACGGUGCUGAAGCAACAAAUGCCCUGCUUCCAGGAAAAGCCUCUAAGCAUCAGGUAACAUCAAAUCGUACCCCAAACCGACACAGGUGGUCAGGUAGAGAAUACCAAGGCGCUUGAGAGAACUCGGGUGAAGGAACUAGGCAAAAUGGUGCCGUAACUUCGGGAGAAGGCACGCUGACACGUAGGUGAAGUGAUUUACUCAUGGAGCUGAAGUCAGUCGAAGAUACCAGCUGGCUGCAACUGUUUAUUAAAAACACAGCACUGUGCAAACACGAAAGUGGACGUAUACGGUGUGACGCCUGCCCGGUGCCGGAAGGUUAAUUGAUGGGGUCAGCGCAAGCGAAGCUCCUGAUCGAAGCCCCGGUAAACGGCGGCCGUAACUAUAACGGUCCUAAGGUAGCGAAAUUCCUUGUCGGGUAAGUUCCGACCUGCACGAAUGGCGUAAUGAUGGCCAGGCUGUCUCCACCCGAGACUCAGUGAAAUUGAACUCGCUGUGAAGAUGCAGUGUACCCGCGGCAAGACGGAAAGACCCCGUGAACCUUUACUAUAGCUUGACACUGAACAUUGAGCCUUGAUGUGUAGGAUAGGUGGGAGGCUUUGAAGUGUGGACGCCAGUCUGCAUGGAGCCGGCCUUGAAAUACCACCCUUUAAUGUUUGAUGUUCUAACGUGGACCCGUGAUCCGGGUUGCGGACAGUGUCUGGUGGGUAGUUUGACUGGGGCGGUCUCCUCCUAAAGAGUAACGGAGGAGCACGAAGGUUGGCUAAUCCUGGUCGGACAUCAGGAGGUUAGUGCAAUGGCAUAAGCCAGCUUGACUGCGAGCGUGACGGCGCGAGCAGGUGCGAAAGCAGGUCAUAGUGAUCCGGUGGUUCUGAAUGGAAGGGCCAUCGCUCAACGGAUAAAAGGUACUCCGGGGAUAACAGGCUGAUACCGCCCAAGAGUUCAUAUCGACGGCGGUGUUUGGCACCUCGAUGUCGGCUCAUCACAUCCUGGGGCUGAAGUAGGUCCCAAGGGUAUGGCUGUUCGCCAUUUAAAGUGGUACGCGAGCUGGGUUUAGAACGUCGUGAGACAGUUCGGUCCCUAUCUGCCGUGGGCGCUGGAGAACUGAGGGGGGCUGCUCCUAGUACGAGAGGACCGGAGUGGACGCAUCACUGGUGUUCGGGUUGUCAUGCCAAUGGCACUGCCCGGUAGCUAAAUGCGGAAGAGAUAAGUGCUGAAAGCAUCUAAGCACGAAACUUGCCCCGAGAUGAGUUCUCCCUGAGACUUAGAGUCUCCUGAAGGAACGUUGAAGACGACGACGUUGAUAGGCCGGGUGUGUAAGCGCAGCGAUGCGUUGAGCUAACCGGUACUAAUGAACCGUGAGGCUUAACCUUACAACGCCGAAG